UUUCCUUAAGAAAAUAUUUAAGGUAUUACCUGCCCAAUGUGAAAAUUAAAGGCUGCGGUAUUUUAACUGCACUAAGGUAGCAUAAUUAAUUGUCUUUUAAUUGGUGACUUGUUUGAAUGGUUUAAUGAGAAAAAGGACUUUCUUAAAACUACAAAGAAUUUAUAUUUCAAGGUUAAAAUACCUGAAUUUAAAAGAAAGACGAGAAGACCCUGUUGAGUUUUACAAUUUUUAUUGUUUUAAUGGGAAAUUAAAUUUUUGUUUAAAAUUUUAUAGAUCCUGGGAUAAAUUCCUGGAAAAAGGACAAAAUUACCACAGGGAUAACAGGACAAUAUCUCCAAAGAGUUCUUAUCGAAGGGGAUGCUUGUUACCUCGAUGUUGAAUCGAAAUAUCUUUAUGGUUGCAGAGGCCGUAAGAGUUGGUCUGUUCGACCAUUUAAAUUUCACG
RNAcentral lists this ribosomal RNA (444 nucleotides) under Parviplana jeronimoi. Its description in RNAcentral is "partial large subunit ribosomal RNA". It matches the Rfam family "Bacterial large subunit ribosomal RNA", at positions 1829 to 2600 of the family's 2925-position model. The record is from RNAcentral. Lineage: Eukaryota; Metazoa; Platyhelminthes; Polycladida; Leptoplanidae.